GGUAGUCGUACACGGUAGCCUGUAAAAUGCAGUCGUAACAUGGUACCCGUAAUGCUGGGUGGCUUAGUGGCGAACGGGUGAGUAACACGUGAGUAACCUGCCCCUGACUCUGGGAUAAGCGUUGGAAACGACGUCUAAUACUGGAUAUGACUACUGGUCGCAUGGCCUGGUGGUGGAAAGAUUUUUUGGUUGGGGAUGGACUCGCGGCCUAUCAGCUUGUUGGUGAGGUAAUGGCUCACCAAGGCGACGACGGGUAGCCGGCCUGACAGGGUGACCGGCCACACUGGGACUGAGACACGGCCCAGACUCCUACGGGAGGCAGCAGUGGGGAAUAUUGCACAAUGGGCGAAAGCCUGAUGCACCAACGCCGCGUGAGGGAUGACGGCCUUCGGGUUGUAAACCUCUUUUAAUAGGGAAGAAGCGAAAGUGACGGUACCUGCAAAAAAGCACCGGCUAACUACGUGCCACCGCCGCGGUAAUACUAGGGUGCAAGCGUUGUCCGGAAUUAUUGGGCGUA
RNAcentral lists this ribosomal RNA (517 nucleotides) under Curtobacterium sp. RNAcentral describes it as "bacterial SSU rRNA". It matches the Rfam family "Bacterial small subunit ribosomal RNA", at positions 28 to 562 of the family's 1533-position model. Lineage: Bacteria; Bacillati; Actinomycetota; Actinomycetes; Micrococcales; Microbacteriaceae. The record is from RNAcentral.